GACGAACGCUGGCGGCGCGCCUAACACAUGCAAGUCGAACGAGCGAGAGAGAGCUUGCUUUCUUGAGCGAGUGGCGAACGGGUGAGUAACGCGUGAGGAACCUGCCUCAAAGAGGGGGACAACAGUUGGAAACGACUGCUAAUACCGCAUAAGCCUACGACCCGGCAUCGGGUUGAGGGAAAAGGAGCAAUCCGCUUUGAGAUGGCCUCGCGUCCGAUUAGCUAGUUGGUGAGGUAACGGCCCACCAAGGCGACGAUCGGUAGCCGGACUGAGAGGUUGAACGGCCACAUUGGGACUGAGACACGGCCCAGACUCCUACGGGAGGCAGCAGUGGGGAAUAUUGCACAAUGGGGGAAACCCUGAUGCAGCGACGCCGCGUGGAGGAAGAAGGUCUUCGGAUUGUAAACUCCUGUUGUUGAGGAAGAUAAUGACGGUACUCAACAAGGAAGUGACGGCUAACUACGUG
This 466-nucleotide ribosomal RNA is filed under the name uncultured bacterium. RNAcentral's name for it is "partial 16S ribosomal RNA". It matches the Rfam family "Bacterial small subunit ribosomal RNA", at positions 28 to 507 of the family's 1533-position model. The record is from RNAcentral.